GACGAACGCUGGCGGCGUGCUUAACACAUGCAAGUCGAGCGGUAAGGCCCUUUCGGGGGUACACGAGCGGCGAACGGGUGAGUAACACGUGGGUGACCUGCCCUCAGCUCUGGGAUAAGCCUGGGAAACUGGGUCUAAUACUGGAUAUGACUCCACGGUGCAUGUCGUGGGGUGGAAAGCCUUGUGCGGCUGAGGAUGGGCCCGCGGCCUAUCAGCUUGUUGGUGGGGUGANGGCCUACCAAGGCGACGACGGGUAGCCGGCCUGAGAGGGCGACCGGCCACACUGGGACUGAGACACGGCCCAGACUCCUACGGGAGGCAGCAGUGGGGAAUCUUGCGCAAUGGGCGAAAGCCUGGCGCAGCGACGCCGCGUGAGGGAUGACGGCCUGG
RNAcentral lists this ribosomal RNA (390 nucleotides) under uncultured bacterium. Its description in RNAcentral is "bacterial SSU rRNA". It matches the Rfam family "Bacterial small subunit ribosomal RNA", at positions 28 to 419 of the family's 1533-position model. The record is from RNAcentral.